UCGUUAAUAAUUUGUGACUUUUUCAAUUAAUGUUUCAUGGAAUAAAAGCAACCACGUACCAAGCACGAAUUCUUGGAACUAAAUAUUGGCUUUUGUUAAUUUUUUUUUUCGGAAAAUCGACGCGUAUUUUUAAAAACGAAUUGAACAAAUGUUCACGACCAAAGUGGUGAAGUUGUUUAAUUACUUGUCAAGAACCAAAAUGAUGCAUCACUCAUGAUAUACAUAAAUUUCACGGCGAACGAAUCAUCAAAUUUGACCCAAAAACAAAAUUCAUUAUCACCAGGAAAAUAUUGCCUGGUCUGAUUCGAUCCUCUAAAUAAUUUUGAUCCUACUAAUACACGAUAGCCUUCGAUAGAAAAUCGCCACGAACAUAAUUCGAUUUCGCAUAUCGUAUCCCUGGUGACGUAUCUAAACCGAAUGUUUAGUUUACCGCGCUUUUGUUUACCAUGUUGUUAUAUUUUUCAGAGUAAUGCUGCUCGAAUAAAUGGCAACGUAGUAAAUAAGAUAAAGGCUGAAUUAAAAUUUAAAAAUCUUCACUCCAUUAGUUUCGCUGUAAUUUUGCUCGCAAUAUUAUAAUAUUAGCUAUAAUUAAUCGAACUAAAUCACGAAUCGUAUUCGUACUCUUAGAAAUAUUAAUUAUCUUCGAUCGAGUGUCAUAAACAGAAUUCCUUGAACGCGAUUCACAUUCAAAUGACAUGACGCGGUACGAUGACGAGACACAGCGGAACUUUCCUAUCGACCGUGAAGAACAUACGUGGCAACAGAGAGAGAGACUUUUUUUUCUCUCAUGUAUCUCCAUUCAUCUCGAGAUGAUUUUAUUUUCGGUCGAUCAAAACGAAACGGACAUAUGCACGUGCGAAAUAACUCUAAUGCCAACAGAGUUCGUGGAACAUAGGUGUUUCCAUGCGACACACGUCCACUGGCAAAAGCGACGCUCCCAACACGAGAUAUAUGGGUUCCGCGAGGAAAAUAUGCGGCCAUUCAUCCGACGAGAAUGACAAUGAACGAAUGAAAUCACGUCCACGUGUUUCUACCCGGCUAAUCGACUUCGUUUACCUUCGUAGCUCAUGGAGAAAAAUCUCGAGAUAACGUGCUUUCGUAUGCUAUCUGAACAAUUACGUAAGGCUUCCAAUCGUGUUCGAGAAAUAUUUUUCUGUUCCGUAGAACGAUUUAUUUUGCGAUUGUAUAUGCGGAGAAACGACAAUUUGAAAUAUACGUGGAUCGAUUAGCACGUCAAAUUCGCGGACAGAAAACAAAUGUUUCUUUGGCAAAAAAGAAAUAUAUAUUGAAAAUAUGCAGAUGAUAUCUAUAAUAGUAAGUAAAUGACCUGACGUCAUGCCUAGGCCUUGAAACGAGCGAACUCUUGUAAGGGUCUCGACUCGGAGUGGGGACAAGGCGAUAAUACUUUCGAGCGAGACGAAGCAUUGAAGCGACGAUAUUCGAUCUGAAAUCUCUUUCUCUAAAUAGAUUCUUUAGAAAUUUGUGUUAUACCUGGCUCAUCUUCGAGAAUCUUCUCUUCGCGAAUACAAUAAAUAAAACCGCGUUCGACUUCGAAGGUGAUUCCUCCUGUUUCGACGAUCGAAAAGAGCUUGUUCCCGAGCUCGCUAUCUCGCGUGAUUCACGAUCGUCGACGGGCUAUUUUCCACGCGAAGGCCGUUUCACAUGCGUUCGAAUCUCGCUUUUGGAACGCUCGAUGAACACUAUAUUCCCAUAUGGAAUGGAUUUAACGACAAAUAACGCAUAUAACAUAAUACGGAGGGGAGAAUCUCUUGUAUAACGCCUCUGUUUAUUUUACUUCGUUCGAUCGAAUCUCCCUUUCCUGUACAAAUUUCAUUUUAUGUGCGAUACGGGCGCAUCGUACACGAAUCCCAGGUAGGUAAAGGAUCGCGAAUGUUUACACGUUCGCAGCUCUAAACGCGAUUGGAACGAGGCUUUCCACGAUCCUGAACGGUUCGUUUUAGCUGACGCUAUUCGGAAAACAUCCACUGCAUUUUGUAUCGUGUGCCUCUACGUGCUCGCGAGUCGAAUCGAUGAUACUUUUGUCUCGAAAGUCGAUACCUGGUUUCUAUAUGCUGAUUAUACGCUCUUGAAAUUGCACAACACUGCUCGUUGCCAAAACAUCACGAUCUUUCAACUUUAUUCUUUUAUUUACUUAUUUUUUUCUAUUUUUUCGACGAUAUUAUCGUUAUUAAUAAAGAACAUAGUCCAAUGUAAACAGAAAUACACUCUUCCCACCUUGAAUUCAAUCUCGUUGAGAUAUUUCUUUUCGUUUUUCGUCUUUGCUCGAACGAUCAUCAGUUUAUUCGUGGAUCAGUGACACUAACGACUUAAUUGAAAAAAUAAAAUAACGACCGAAAAUAAAAUACCGUACGAAUCAAACUGCGCGAAAUUCAAACAAAAAAAUGUAAAUAAGUAUCCGUUACAAACGGAUUUAGAAAAAUCGAUAUUUCAUCGCAAAGAAUAAUAUUACGUGCAUUUUAAAAACAUAAUAAUUCUAAAAAUCAUAACAUCUAAUGUUACACGCCUCGACUAGGUUAAACACGGAUCCAACGGUCACGCACACAGGCGCAAGAUUAAGUACGGGACAGGAUCCAACACAGAACAAUUUUACCUGGUCGUGUUCUAUGCUGACUGGACUAACUAACUAACUGGUUCCGAACACUGGCCAAAAUUUAAAUUCCAUGAAAACAGCUAACACGCGAGUGAAAACGUAAACACGAGGUCUCGUAUACGUCGUUGGGAGAAUGGUAACAAGCCAACGAUGAUACUGUAUGCUUGAAUAUAUCAUUCUUGGAAAAAAAAAAAAGAAAAUCCAUUACGAAAUCAAAAGUUUUGCCAAUAGAGAUUUUGCAAGAGACAGUAUUUGUCCUGUAAAAAUUUAGUUCGUGAAGAUUUUUAAUGCGACAGAGUUCUUUCGUAUGCAUUCGUGAGUCUUGAGAGUGUGUAGAGGGAAGCAGACGUCCUCGACGCGACGAGUACGUUUCUGGAAGCUACCAGAGAGAUCGCCUAAUUCUGUCACCGAUGCUGAACGUUACACGGCAGCUCUGCUAGUAAAUAUGCCGAAUGUACUAUAUCUGAGUAAACGACAUGCAGACACGAUAACGCGGUAUCCCAAGGAAACGAGCAUCGAGUAACGUGUAUUUCGUUUUUAAACGAAAAAUCUCGAUUUAACGACGAAAAAAAUAAACGAGAAAAUGUUGUACGAAAUAAUACGAAAAAUAUCAACGUUCAAUCGAAUGAAGUUUCAAUUUCUCUUUAAAAGAUGGAAUAAAAGAGAAGCCCAAUACCAAUGAAAGUCGCGUAAAUUCGUUACCAGGAAAAAUACAUCGAUAGCUAUUUCGAAACAAAGAGAAGCAUCACGUCCUGCGGAGUAACAUACAGGAAGUACGCGGAAGAACGUUGGCAUGUCGUGCAUGUCCUCGUUCAUGGAAAUCGCGAUUUCGCUUCUAGCAGUCCCAUCGAUUUACCUUUUAUCCUCGUACAACGCGAGUCAGCGUGUUUUAUCGACUAUGGCCACGACGACGUUUCGACGAUCGACACACUGUCCGUGUUACCUAACGACGAAACGAUCUCACCCGUUUCGAUUUGCGAAACGUGUUUGUAAACGAACAAGAGUGACACCACGGUGAACAGACGAAGCUUAUAGGAACGACGUUCGACACGUUGCGGACAGAAGGCCGUUUUACACUGACCCCCUGCCACUGGAACUUCUACGUAUAACCAUCGUCUACGUCCUGCCACGGUUGCCAUGUUGCGUGCUUGCCUGUGUGUGCGUUGCCUAUAGUCUGCUCACCGCCGGUGUGCAUGCCAUCGUAAGUGUCAGGUUCUCCCACGGAACUGUAUACACUGAAACGCUUACGUAGUUACGACAAAGAACUUUGAAUUCUCUUCUUUGUACGCGUGCCUCCAUAUUCGAAGUUCCUUCGAGUCGAGAAGAAACCGUUGUCCUAUGACGAUCGAGAAAGAUCGAGAAAGAAGAAAAAAAUUCGAACGGUUUAAUAACGGAAGUUUAAUAAUGGAAAAUUUUUCAAUAGAAUCGUUAAUUCAACCGGAACAAUGUAUGAAAAUAGAUCGAUAUAGGAGUGGGGAUUCUCGUAUCGUGAUUCUGAUCAACACUGCUAUUUUACGAUUUAUCGUUUGAGAAAUGACAAUGCUUUUGACUCGUUAUGUAAGCAGCUGAUAAGUAGACAAUUUUGAGGUAGGUGAAGAAGAAAGAUUUGAAUGAAGAUAAUCUAAUCUUUGCAGAAAAGGUAUAUAAUUAAUAGAUUAUUAGAGGAAAAUGUAAGCCAUAUUGUGAGAUUAAAGAAGAUUGGAAAUCGGCCAAUCGGAAAUUAGAAUUGGCGAUAAAAUUUCCACGAGGUUACGCGUAAUUACGUAAUUCGUUUUUCACUUAUUCACUAAUAAAUAACCAUGUUUAUUCUACGAGUUCACGUUCACGGUUGAUCGAACAAUCUUCCACGGGCUGAAACCGAUGAAUGGGAAUGUGAAACAGUGCUAUACGAGCUUAUCGCGAAAAAUAUAUAUGUAUAUAUACAUGUAUAUAUAUAUAUUCGAAAACACGCUACAACGGUUCUCAAUUAAUCGAAAAAUAGAAUUCCAUCAAAAAAUCACGCGUGGCGCGAUAAGAGGCGAGUCGAAUUCGAUUAUUUGCGAUCUCCAUUCGCGAUUUAGAUAAUAUUAUUGACGUCAUCAAAUUGCAUCUCUUCUCCAAAAAUAUUAUUAUUAUUAAUAUUUGCUUCUAUAUCCUUGCAUUAACAUACACCAGUCCUGAUUUGAUUAACAUUAUCGCUAUUCUCGGUUCGUAAUACGCAAUCGUUUUUUCAAGAUCAUCACGAGCAAUAUGUUUUCGAAGAUCGAUCGUUUUUCGAGAGAAGCGAGCAGUUGCUCGUUCGAAACUUGCGAAACGAAUCGAGCACGAGACGAGCAAAUCCGUUCAAUCCGCAAUAAUUCUCUUUGCGAAUCGAUUUACGACGUUAUGACAAACGACGGGAAACACGAGAAGAUCGAAGAUCUCGCAUUAUCUUUAAUCGCCUCGAAUCAUACUUACGUAAAAUUCCCUUAUAGUCCCAGACGACUGGGUUACGUAACGAUCACUAAUUUGUUUCUCGAUCUCGGCUACGAGUUUAACGCGACGAAGAAAUCGUGUCACGACAUAUUUCGAAAUUCCUCACAAUAUAAUAUAACGAUCGCAUCGUGUUCGCUCGUGUAACGUCACUUGGCCGAAUCGAUAGGCCGUGAAUCAUCGAGGGUUGGACGAAAAACCGACCGAUUUUACCUUGGUAUCGCGCAACGCGUUAAUACUAAUGGCUCGUAAUUAAAUUUCAAAGGCAGUGUAUUUGGUGGAUACGACGUGAAAUUAUCACUGUCGCGCACAGUAGAUACGCGUUUAGAUACGCGUGGAAGGGGGAAAAAAAUAUAGAAGAGAAGAAAAAAA
Molecule: long non-coding RNA, 5434 nt
Organism: Apis dorsata (giant honeybee)
Lineage: Eukaryota; Metazoa; Arthropoda; Insecta; Hymenoptera; Apidae
Exons: 2
Source: RefSeq, a predicted model, not a curated record